AAUUGGAGGGCAAGUCUGGUGCCAGCAGCCGCGGUAAUUCCAGCUCCAAUAGCGUAUAUUAAAGUUGUUGCAGUUAAAAAGCUCGUAGUUGAAUUUCGGGAUCAAUAUUUCGGUCAUGCCGUUGGUAUGCACUGUUAUCAUUGAUUUCUCACCUUCUAAAGAACCGUAAUGCCAUUAAUUUGGUGUUACGGGGAAUUAGGACUGUUACCUUGAAAAAAUUAGAGUGUUUAAAGCAGGCUCACGCUCGAAUACAUUAGCAUGGAAUAAUGAAAUAGGACAUCCGAUUCUAUUUUGUUGGUUUCUAGGAUCGAUGUAAUGAUUAAUAGGGAUAGUUGGGGGCAUUAGUAUUCAAUUGUCAGAGGUGAAAUUCUUGGAUUUAUUGAAGACUAACUACUGCGAAAGCAUUUGCCAAGGAUGUUUUCAUUAAUCAAGAACGAAAGUUAGGGGAUCGAAGACGAUCAGAUACCGUCGUAGUCUUAACCAUAAACUAUGCCGACUAGGGAUCGGAUGAUGUUAAUUUUUUAAUGACUCAUUCGGCGCCUUACGGGAAACCAAAGUGU
This 560-nucleotide ribosomal RNA is filed under the name uncultured Glomus. RNAcentral's name for it is "SSU rRNA". It matches the Rfam family "Eukaryotic small subunit ribosomal RNA", at positions 546 to 1106 of the family's 1831-position model. Lineage: Eukaryota; Fungi; Glomeromycota; Glomeromycetes; Glomerales; Glomeraceae. The record is from RNAcentral.